RNAcentral lists this ribosomal RNA (188 nucleotides) under uncultured Chryseolinea sp. RNAcentral describes it as "partial 16S ribosomal RNA". It matches the Rfam family "Bacterial small subunit ribosomal RNA", at positions 338 to 524 of the family's 1533-position model. Lineage: Bacteria; Pseudomonadati; Bacteroidota; Cytophagia; Cytophagales; Fulvivirgaceae. The record is from RNAcentral.
CCUACGGGAGGCAGCAGUAGGGAAUAUUGGUCAAUGGGUGAGAGCCUGAACCAGCCAUGCCGCGUGCAGGAAGAAGGCCUUCUGGGUUGUAAACUGCUUUUGCCAGGGGAUAAAAUGACCUUGCGAGGUUAACUGAAGGUACCUGGUGAAUAAGCCACGGCUAACUACGUGCCAGCAGCCGCGGUAAU